CUUGUCUUCUCCCAAAGAUGUAGCUUAAAGCUACUGCCAAAAACAGCCCAAAACCUCCAAAAAUUAGUAAACGUAGCUCCUCCAUCACCACUGGAACGAGAAGCAACAGUCCAAAUUUGAAAACAAAACCCAACAGACCCCUGUAGAGAAAGCAGCUGCAGACCUUAAGAAUUAAAAACAAAGAACAAAAUAACACCUAAAAGAUCGAGCAAGAGAUAAAGAAGUGCCGAUUUUGUUUUAAAAUAGACCCUUCCCAGCGUCCUGUGCUUCCUCCCAUUGCUUUCCAAAUAUUUGGUUCUCGAAUGGAGUUCAAUCACAGUGAGUUUGCUGCUCGAGUCACCAAGGUCUAGUUUUCCGAUGUGUUCUUUGGUUGACAGAUUUGUUCGGGGCUUCUGAUUCAAGACCUAUUUCCAUUCGUGUAAACUUUUCUGGAAUUCUAAUUGAAUUCUCUUGGAGUUCUCUGUAAAAAAACUAGCUCGAAGAAAUUAUCGUGCUUAUCGAUCUUCUGAAUGGAAUUCAAUUGACGUGCCGAGGCUCUAUUCAAGUUUCCGCCGAGGUUUGAUUUGGGAUCGUUAAUCUCUGUUUUUUAAGGUCUGAGUUUCGACCCCUUCAUUUACAUGCUCUGUUUCUGUUUAUUUACAAUGCUAUGUUUGUGAAAUCAUCGCUAUCGUUAAUCGUGUUAUCCUUGAGAGAUUAAUUGUCAGUUGCUACUUUUGAAUAUUAACUACUAACUGACCUGCGUCAACCAACAAAAGGCCCCAAAUUCAAGUUGGAUUAUCCGUGUGUUUUCUGGUAACUACGGAAGUGUUACUCCUACUAUGUGUUUGUUGGCAUCAUAUCCAUUUUCGCUUCUACAAAAUACAAACGUGUUUGCUGGCAUCAUAUCUAUUUUUGCUUCUAAAAAAAUAGACAACUUCGAGGUUGUUUUCGAUGAAUUCUGGGUCAGUUUCAAUACACAAUCUUUGUAGGCAUUAAUUAAGAUUAACCUCUAUCUUAUAAUUGUUGUUGCUAUUGCUUUCCCCGGUUUCAAUUGAUAUCAGUGUCUUGUAGUUGACAAUGGAAGCUUCCUUACUCAUUUUUCAGAAGUAUUUCCCUUCAAUUUCAUAACAUGGUUUGGAUAGCAUGAAUUUUGAGUUGCAUCGUGAAUUUGUUCAUUUUUAUGGAUUUAGAAGUUGGC
This 1177-nucleotide long non-coding RNA is filed under the name Nicotiana benthamiana. RNAcentral's name for it is "long non-coding RNA (NBEN_LNC039708)". Lineage: Eukaryota; Viridiplantae; Streptophyta; Magnoliopsida; Solanales; Solanaceae. The record is from RNAcentral.